AAUGUGUUGGUGUUCAGCCUAGCAGAAUGAUCAAAGGGAGAUGUGUCUGGAACAGAGUGAAGACAAAUUGUUGCCGCCACACAGGAUAAGCCAUAAACCAGCCAUGCAGGAAUGAUUGAAAGUCCUCAAACUCCAUCCCCAUCUCCCUAAUAUGAUUACACUUGGUUUUCUUGGCUGAACAGCCAGAGAUAACUAGGAAGGGCUGUUUCUGAAUUCUCUGGAAUCAGUCCCACCACCUCAAGCCCUAGGGAGAGGAAUGAGUCAAACAGAGUGAAAUCAACAAGGUAGCUCCUUGGGGGAUGGGGGAGGGGAAAUUGAUAAAUCCAACUGUUUGCUGAACCUCAGACUUUGUAUCCUAGAAAAUACCACUGGAAUCUAUCAACAGAGGACUCUUAAAGCAAUUGUAUCUGCUGCAGCCUUGACUCCAGAGACCCCUACUGGUUCACAGCUGAUGACUGAAGGAAUUGACACCAAAGAGUCCACAAGUGCCAGGCUCUUAAGGCUCUUUUUGCGGAGAGAUGGCUCUGGCUCUGUUGGUGGAGAGGUGACUGGUGGCAGCGUGCCGGGAAUCUUGGCAUCCUGGCAUGGCUGCAGCUAUUGUCCGGGUUUGGUGGUGAGUGUCCUUGAUUAAAUACUGGGAGAAGCUUAGUAACGUAGUUCCGGUGAGGUGUCUUCCCUGAGCUCUCUCGGAGUUUAGGCUGACUCUUUUUUUUUUUCCUUUACCUUUCCCAAAAUGCCAUCCUCCUAGGAGGCCCCUCAUCUCAGAGGACGCCUCAUGGCUAGAAGGUCUCUGAACUCCCCUUGGCUCAGGCUAGGCCUGAGAAAGCCUAUACCUUUUUCCCUCUCUUCUUCUUCUUAAUUCCUUCCCUCUAUAUUAAUUAAAUCACCAUAAAAUUCCCAAACUGACCUGAGCAUUUUUAUUGGGAUUUGAAUUAAUCCCUGGUGACCAACUAAAUUUAUAUUUCAGUCAGAAACCCCUAAAUUUACCCCCUUACACUUCCUAUCAUUACAUACUUCCUAUAGACAGAGGAUAUUAGAGAGUGGGUGGUUCUCUUGGGCCUCUUUCUUAGGCUUGCAGCCAGCAUGGUGGUGGUGGUAAUCUAAGAGUGGGGAUUUUAAAUGGGCUAAUCAGUCAUGGGCAUGUGGUCUUUAUUUUGUAUACUCUUUAUUCCUUGAUUUCUAAUGAUCAUUUAAUAAAUCUCCUAAAAUAUAAUAUUUUCA
This 1221-nucleotide long non-coding RNA is filed under the name Monodelphis domestica (gray short-tailed opossum). Its description in RNAcentral is "lncRNA (ENSMODG00000045114.1)". Lineage: Eukaryota; Metazoa; Chordata; Mammalia; Didelphimorphia; Didelphidae. The record is from RNAcentral.